AUUCGGUAGCAGACAACAGGGAUUACCUCAGUAACGGCGAGUGAAGCGGUAACAGCUCAAAUUUGAAAUCUGGCCCUCUUAGGGUCCGAGUUGUAAUUUGUAGAAGAUGCUUUGGGUGUGGCUCCGGUCUAAGUUCCUUGGAACAGGACGUCAUAGAGGGUGAGAAUCCCGUAUGUGACUGGCGGCCUUCGCCCGUGUAAAGCUCUUUCGACGAGUCGAGUUGUUUGGGAAUGCAGCUCUAAAUGGGAGGUAUAUUUCUUCUAAAGCUAAAUACUGGCCAGAGACCGAUAGCGCACAAGUAGAGUGAUCGAAAGAUGAAAAGCACUUUGGAAAGAGAGUUAAACAGUACGUGAAAUUGUUGAAAGGGAAGCGCUUGCAACCAGACUUGCAUGCCGUCGAUCAUCGUGGGUUCUCCCGCGUGCACUCGGCGGCGUUCAGGCCAGCAUCGGUUCCGGUGGUUGGAUAAAGGCCUUGGGAAUGUGGCUCCUCUCGGGGAGUGUUAUAGCCCUCGGUGCAAUGCAGCCUACUGGGACCGAGGACCGCGCUUCGGCUAGGAUGCUGGCGUAAUGGUUGUAAGCGACCCGUCUUGAAACACGGACCAAGGAGUCUAACAUCUAUGCGAGUGUUAGGGUGUUAAACCCUUCCGCGAAAUUAACGUGAACGGAGGUACGAACCCUUUAGGGCGCAGUAUCGACCGGUCCUGAUGUCUUCGGAUGGAUCUGAGUAAGAGCAUAGCUGUUGGGACCCGAAAGAUGGUGAACUAUGCCUGAAUAGGGUGAAGCCAGAGGAAACUCUGGUGGAGGCUCGCAGCGGUUCUGACGUGCAAAUCGAUCGUCAAAUUAGGGCAUAGGGGCGAAAGACUAAUCGAACCAUUGGAACCUAACUACUAGGUGGUUAAGAGAGCUCUUCUAGUGCCGGGUCGGCUCGACCCGGGGCAAUACCGUCAAAUUGCGGGGACCUCCCGUGAGGCAUGGCUACCGCAGCAGGGGCGAAAGCCCCCGCGCGCACCAAGGGUAACGACCUUGGGGAUGGUAAGAACGCCAUGGCCUGGGAUGAUUCGCAGCCAAGCCCUACCGCCCUCCGGGGCCACGGGUGCAGCUCAGAGACUAGAUGUCGGUGGGUGGCCAGGCCGCCUAAGUUAUAGUCCAACCCCCCUAGGUAACUAGGGGUCACCAGGACAUUGGGCA
This 1187-nucleotide ribosomal RNA is filed under the name Dicephalospora sp. Its description in RNAcentral is "partial large subunit ribosomal RNA". It matches the Rfam family "Eukaryotic large subunit ribosomal RNA", at positions 45 to 1919 of the family's 3401-position model. The record is from RNAcentral. Lineage: Eukaryota; Fungi; Ascomycota; Leotiomycetes; Helotiales; Helotiaceae.